CGUAACGGGUAACGAAGAAUUAGGGUUCGAUUUCGGAGAGGGAGCAUGAGAAACGGCUACCACAUCUAAGGAAGGCAGCAGGCGCGUAAAUUACCCAAUCCUGACUCAGGGAGGUAGUGACAAGAAAUAGCAAACCGGGAACCUCAUGGUUUCACGGUAUUGCAAUGAGAACAAUUUUAAACCCUUAGCGAGAAUCAAGUGGAGGACAAGUCUGGUGCCAGCACCCGCGGUAAUUCCAGCUCCACUAGCGUAUAUUAAAGUUGUUGCAGUUAAAAAGCUCGUAGUUGAACCUCUGUCUGAGGCUAGUUUUGGCUUUGGUCAGGCUAGUUCUAGGCAUCCGCCUACAAGACUUAGAGGGCAUUCAGUUGUUCACUAGGAGGAGUAGGCAUUUUACUUUGAAAAAAUUAGAGUGUUUAAGGCAGGCAAUCGCCCGCAUAUAUUAGCAUGGAAUAAUAGAAUAGGACACUUUUCCAUUUCGUUGGUUAUUGGAAUCGUGUAAUGAUUAAUGGGGACAGUUGUGGGCAUUUGUAUUUAAUUGUCAGAGGUGAAAUUCUUGGAUUUAUUAAAGACAAACUAACGCGAAAGCAUUUGCCAAGGAUGUUUUCAUUAAUCAAGAACGAAAGUUAGGGGAUCAAAGACGAUCAGAUACCGUCCUAGUUUUAACUAUAAACUAUUCCGACUCAAUGUUUGACUGGCUUAUAUAACCAGUUGAGCGUUGUAUGAGAAAUCAAAGUCUUUAGGUUCUGGGGGGAGUAUGGUUGCAAAGCUGAAACUUAAAGGAAUUGACGGAAGAGCACAACCAGGAGUGAUUCUGCGGCUUAAUUUGACUCAACACGGGGAAACUUACCAGGUUAAAACAAUAGUGGGAUUGACAGUUUGAGAGCGCUUUCUUGAUUGGUUGGGUGGUGGUGCAUGGCCGUUCUUAGUUGUGGAGUGAUUUGUCUGCUUAAUUGCGUUAACGAACGAGACCUUAACCUGCUUACUAGACUGGCGAUCAUCAAUCGUUAGCUCUUCUUAGAGGGACUUUGGUUGUUUUAACUCCAAGGAAGUUUGAGGCAAUAACAGGUCUGUGAUGCCCUUAGAUAUCCUGGGCCGCACGCGUCAUACAAUGACUAGUUCAGAAAGUUUUCUCCUGACCCGAAAGGGGAUGGGUAAUCUUGAUAAUACUAGUCGUGUUAGGGAUCGAUCUUUGCAAUUAUAGAUCUUGAACGAGGAAUUCCUAGUAAGUGCGGUUCAUCAGACCGUACUGAUUACGUCCCUGCUCUUUGUACACACCGCCCGUCGCUUCUACCGAGUGGGUGGUCCGGUGAGAUAAUUGAACUUCGCAGGUAACUGAGAGGAAAGAUUAUCAAACCUAUCCACCUCGAGGAAGAAGAAGUCGUAACAAGGUU
This 1391-nucleotide ribosomal RNA is filed under the name metagenome. RNAcentral's name for it is "SSU rRNA". It matches the Rfam family "Eukaryotic small subunit ribosomal RNA", at positions 351 to 1801 of the family's 1831-position model. The record is from RNAcentral.